CACUGUCUCAGUGGGUGGGUGCACCCCUCGUGGUCCUGACUUCUUUGCUCAUAUUCUCCCUCCUUCUGCUCCUCCUUGGGACAUUGGGGUCCCAAGGAAAAAUAUCUCUUAAUUGCAUAUUCUUUUAAGCACUUCUCAAAUAUCAGUAUUUUUAUCUCAGGUUACCUUUUAUUUGUAAUUCGCUACUAUUUUUUGUUCAUUUCUAAGUGUUCAGUGUAACAUUUAAGGGGUAUGUGCUUAAAAGUCAGUAGUUUAAGAUUUUAUCUUAACAGGCAACCUGAAGAGUAUUUUUCUUUGCUUGAUGAAUUCAUAUACAUUUAUAUUUAUUAUGAAAUCAAUACUCUUGGUCACUUAGAAUCAUCUCUAUUCUAUUACAUGAAAACCCAUAGGUAGCACUUACCUUAAUGACAUCUGUGAGAUGUUCUGUAUUCUAGAUACAAGGAGUCCUUAAUCUGGUGCAUGGUUUUCAAACUUGUGUUUCCCCAUCAGGGCAUUGUCUUUAUUUAUCACCCAUUACUUGGAAGAGCAUACAGCUGACACUUGAUGGACGUCCUAACAACAAGCUUCUCAACUUAUGAAAAGAGGAUUGUUAUAUCUAAGAAGUUUGGUUUUUAUUGUUUUUAAUGAGCUAUAUAUUUAACUCCAAUUCCCUACAUUCCUACUGUCUCCCCUUCCUCCUCUCCUGUGACCCCCACACUCCCAGUUUUCUCAGGACUUCUUGUCUUUUUCUCCUUCCUAUGUAGAUCCAGAAUGUCUCUCUUAGGAUCCUCUUUCUUGUCUAGGUUGUCUGGGGUUGUGGAAAAUAAGCUGGUUUUUCUUUGCUUUAUGUCUAAAAGUCACUCAUGAGAGAGUACAUAUUACAUUUGUUUUUCUGGGUCUGGGUAAGAAAUUUGUUUUGAAUCCAUGUUCCUGAGCUUGAAGGUAUUUAGGUUGUUCCUCAGCCUGUUGCUCACCACCUUCACGUCUGACAUUGCGCCUUUUAUCAUACCUAGUUCUGUUGCUCUUUCUCUCCCAUUUCUCCACCACACAUUUUGCUCACCAUAAUGGCUUCCUUGAAGUACCGGUUAGACCUGUGAAUGUCUUCCCGCCAGCCCAGGCUUUGACAAUGCAGGCUGGCCUGUGGGUGACUGGCACCUGCCUGAAUAGAAUUGUAUCAGGCAGCCUGGGGAUAUCUUCCUUGCUCCCAAUGACUUCAAUGUUUUAAAAAUUGUGUGUAUAUUGUAAGCAUUGCUGCUCAGAUGGAAAAGGAUCAUGGCAGUCAGGAGCCAAGGAAUACCCCAAAUUCACCUUAAACAUAGGAGCUCACAGCCCUGCUUCAGGGAAAGUUUCCCCCAGAUUAACAGCUCUGCUCUGGUAGGGGAGGGUUUUCCCAGCUAAGUUGUUAGAGCUCUGCUUAGAUCCUCAGAAGAGUAACAAGUCUGCUCUGCUAGGAGAAGCUUUUCCAGUUCUGCUCCCCUCUCCUCUGCUCGUCUCCAGUUGAAGUCAUUGCUUCUCUGUUCUUCUUAGACAAAGAAGGUCUCACCCAAGCCUCAUUCAAGAGAUUCACUGGGAGGAAAGAAUCCAGGAGGUGGCUGCCCCUGCAAGAGUAGGAAAGGCAGCUCCCAACUGAAAAGGAUCAGGGUGUGCUGCUUUGGAUAGAAACGGGUGUUGUUUCCCCUAGAAAGAGAUAUGCAGGCCAUUGUGGGCCACCAAGUGAGUGCUGAGAACCCAGCCCAGGUCUUCUGUAAGAGCAACAAGUCCUCUUAACCAUGGGGCCAUCUCUGAAGUCCAAGUCAUCAAAUAUUAAACGUAAUUACUAUUUUUCUACUUUGCCCCAUAAUGAAAAUAGACAUCUUCUUAUACUCAGGUAGGUGCAAGUUUCAUUAUUAUUGACCAAUCCAGAAGGUUUCAUUUCUAUGUUAGUUAGGUUUUCAAUCCUAACCACUGCCCUACCCUGUCUUCAGGAAAAUACAACAAUCUGCCAUUAUCAACCAAUUUGUAUAUACUGGAAUGUAUUAGGAUAGAAUCAGAGUUUAGAAACAUCUGGCGUUCACUCAUCUUGCAUAUAUGUUUAAAUUUAUCUAUUUUGUUGCCCAUGAUAAUUGUUCACUCUUAACAUUAAAUGGUGUAGCAAUGUAUAGCUACACUAAAUAUUUUAAAAUUUCUUUUUAUUUUAUGUGUAUAUAUGUUUGCCUACAUAUAUGUAUGAAGAGCACAUUCAUGCCUGGUGCCCUUGGAAGCCAAGAGAAAACUUCGGAUCCCUUGGCACUGGAGUUACAGUUGGGAGUUGCCAUGUCAGUUUUGGGAAAUGAGUCUUUUAACUGUUGCCUGUUGUUUAGUUUGUUUUCAAUUUCAAUGUCUUGUAUAUAAAGCUGGUGUGAAAUGAAAUAAAUAAGUCUUUAAAAGAAAAUAUGUCCUCUUUCUCCAGGUUAUAUGUUUGGGGUUGUGAUGGUCAGAUGACAAUUAACAUAUGAAGAAACUGAGAAAUACUUUUCCAAGUCUCUGUCCCGUUUUCCAUGGCCACCAAAAGUUGGUAUGAGACUUUCAUUCUCCACAACCUGCCAGGUCUUUGUAUGACAAGUCUUUAUUUCUGAGUAUUUUAUAGGGGUGUCGAGAGUCCCCUCAGAGUCACCUGUCUCUCUUCCCUAAGUGUUAAGGAUGUUGAUGCUUUAUGUUUCUCUUAGUGGAGCAUCUACUCACCCUUCUGGCCAAGUUUGAUUUCGUGAAUUGUCUAAUUUCUUAGUGGCUAUUUUUGGAGCUUUCUGUAUUCUGGAAACAAGAAGACUGUCAUCUGAUACACAAUUUCCAACAUUCAUUUUCCCAGUAUUUUGAAGUUGCAAGUGAAUUAUGAGAAAAGAAACAAAUGUCCAACACCCAAUUAGAGGGAAAAUUUCUAAGGCAGCCCCAGGUCAAAUGUUUGCCCAAAUGGAAUCUUUGGAAUCAUAGAGAUAGUCCUUUACCUCCCAGCCAGCUCCAUCAGGGAGGUGCUGAGAUCACGGUGGAGAGAAAGAAGGGGAUACAUGUGAGGAGUUAGGUCUCUUCUAUGAGAAGAACAACAGGAAGGCAGAGAGAACACGCAGAAGGUUGACAAGAAGCUGACAUGAGCCCUUGUGUUCAAACAGGGAGAAAACUGUGAACUCUCCAUGCAGAACCAGCUCCUGGAGAAGAACCAAGUGUGGUGUGGUCUUGUCAGUCUGUUACCUAGCAAGAGUGACAAGAUCAUGUGGGACUCACCAGGGUCUGGGUCAUUGUUCUGUACACACAACCACAGACAGUACAACAGCAGCCUCCAGUCCCUUGUUGCUUACCUUUGAGGAAGCUGGGCAUCUAAGUGGAUUACAAUGGAAACCAUUCAAAGAGACUGCGUUAAACUGCCUGGUCCACAAAGAAAAUCAAAUGCUGCCCUGGGAUGGCCCAAGUAUGGAUGAUCUACAAGAAAGCAAUUUGUUUAAGGGGACAUUGAGGUGACACCAAGCACGUGACUUCCCUUUCCCACACUGUGGGACUAGAACCAGAGCCACAGGACUCAGAGAGGAAGAGGAACCACGUCUUCAAAGACAAAGACAGGCAGAGGGUCCAGGCUGAGCAUGAACUCUCCUGAUUUCAGGAAAUGCUCACUGCAGGUUUCUCACAUAGGAGUCACCUCCUCUCAGCUCUCCACGUGGGUAGUCUGUGAGCAAAGAGACACGCUUCUCCAUUGCUGGAGAGAAUGCCACUGUUCUCCAAGCCUAUGGAGGGAUCUGAUGCUAGUAAAACACAAGCGUGCAUUCUGGGGACCAGGGAACUUUCUUCUAAGGAUCCAUCCCAAAGAACACAGAAGGGGACACAAAGACUGUCAGAGCAACAAUGUAGAACUCCAAGACCAGAACUAUGAAAAUCGUCUGUGGGAAGGAGAGAGUGAUGGAACGAUCUCAGGUGUAUCUACGACUGCUUUCCUCUGCUUACUGACAGUUUACCCAUCUAACAUGAUACUCCAGGACCCCUGGUUAUCUUCUCAGUACAGAAACCUGGUGCCCACAAAAGAAGCCAGUAUGUGAAUACCUGGAUAAACAUUACAUAUCUGAAGGAAUUGAUUUGCCUAUGGAUAUGCCAUAUAAGAUACUGAUAUUUAAGGCAGUAAGUAGAGAACAUGGUGUGGAAUUGAGCAGUCUGUGACUCCAUAUCCUGGAAGACAGAAUAUCAAACCCACUAGCAAUAAAUUUUAACAUGGACAGCCACCAGAAAGAAGUGGCUUUGCCACACCCCACUUCCCAGGGAUUGAUUCAGUGUCUGUUAUGGACCCAGAUAUCUACCAUUUUAAUAAGGACUCCCUGCAAAUGUGAUGCAGUAAUGCAUGGCCCAUUGAGGAAAAUGGUCUGACGGGGAUGGCUUCCAUUUCAGUCCUGGUCAUUUAAAGGAACCCAUGCAGGGGACAGUCAUCUGGGAAGUCUAUUAAUGUCAUUGUUCCACAGUGUGCUGCUAUUGCUGCUACAUGCUCAACAGGUUGAGUUCCUACAAGGCAUGACAGAUCCCCUGCUGGUCACACGGAUGGGAAGAGAAAA
This is a long non-coding RNA of Alexandromys fortis (reed vole), 4520 nucleotides long. RefSeq lists it as uncharacterized. The transcript has 7 exons. The record is from RefSeq and is a predicted model, not a curated record. Lineage: Eukaryota; Metazoa; Chordata; Mammalia; Rodentia; Cricetidae.